UUAAAUUGAAGAGUUUGAUCAUGGCUCAGAUUGAACGCUGGCGGCAGGCCUAACACAUGCAAGUCGAACGGUAACAGAAAGCAGCUUGCUGCUUUGCUGACGAGUGGCGGACGGGUGAGUAAUGUCUGGGAAACUGCCUGAUGGAGGGGGAUAACUACUGGAAACGGUAGCUAAUACCGCAUAACGUCGCAAGACCAAAGAGGGGGACCUUAGGGCCUCUUGCCAUCGGAUGUGCCCAGAUGGGAUUAGCUAGUAGGUGGGGUAAAGGCUCACCUAGGCGACGAUCCCUAGCUGGUCUGAGAGGAUGACCAGCCACACUGGAACUGAGACACGGUCCAGACUCCUACGGGAGGCAGCAGUGGGGAAUAUUGCACAAUGGGCGCAAGCCUGAUGCAGCCAUGCCGCGUGUAUGAAGAAGGCCUUCGGGUUGUAAAGUACUUUCAGCGGGGAGGAAGGGAGUAAAGUUAAUACCUUUGCUCAUUGACGUUACCCGCAGAAGAAGCACCGGCUAACUCCGUGCCAGCAGCCGCGGUAAUACGGAGGGUGCAAGCGUUAAUCGGAAUUACUGGGCGUAAAGCGCACGCAGGCGGUUUGUUAAGUCAGAUGUGAAAUCCCCGGGCUCAACCUGGGAACUGCAUCUGAUACUGGCAAGCUUGAGUCUCGUAGAGGGGGGUAGAAUUCCAGGUGUAGCGGUGAAAUGCGUAGAGAUCUGGAGGAAUACCGGUGGCGAAGGCGGCCCCCUGGACGAAGACUGACGCUCAGGUGCGAAAGCGUGGGGAGCAAACAGGAUUAGAUACCCUGGUAGUCCACGCCGUAAACGAUGUCGACUUGGAGGUUGUGCCCUUGAGGCGUGGCUUCCGGAGCUAACGCGUUAAGUCGACCGCCUGGGGAGUACGGCCGCAAGGUUAAAACUCAAAUGAAUUGACGGGGGCCCGCACAAGCGGUGGAGCAUGUGGUUUAAUUCGAUGCAACGCGAAGAACCUUACCUGGUCUUGACAUCCACGGAAGUUUUCAGAGAUGAGAAUGUGCCUUCGGGAACCGUGAGACAGGUGCUGCAUGGCUGUCGUCAGCUCGUGUUGUGAAAUGUUGGGUUAAGUCCCGCAACGAGCGCAACCCUUAUCCUUUGUUGCCAGCGGUCCGGCCGGGAACUCAAAGGAGACUGCCAGUGAUAAACUGGAGGAAGGUGGGGAUGACGUCAAGUCAUCAUGGCCCUUACGACCAGGGCUACACACGUGCUACAAUGGCGCAUACAAAGAGAAGCGACCUCGCGAGAGCAAGCGGACCUCAUAAAGUGCGUCGUAGUCCGGAUUGGAGUCUGCAACUCGACUCCAUGAAGUCGGAAUCGCUAGUAAUCGUGGAUCAGAAUGCCACGGUGAAUACGUUCCCGGGCCUUGUACACACCGCCCGUCACACCAUGGGAGUGGGUUGCAAAAGAAGUAGGUAGCUUAACCUUCGGGAGGGCGCUUACCACUUUGUGAUUCAUGACUGGGGUGAAGUCGUAACAAGGUAACCGUAGGGGAACCUGCGGUUGGAUCACCUCCUUACCUUAAAGAAGC
RNAcentral lists this ribosomal RNA (1556 nucleotides) under Escherichia coli. RNAcentral describes it as "bacterial SSU rRNA". It matches the Rfam family "Bacterial small subunit ribosomal RNA". The record is from RNAcentral. Lineage: Bacteria; Pseudomonadati; Pseudomonadota; Gammaproteobacteria; Enterobacterales; Enterobacteriaceae.